GAGAACCAAGAUGCCUGAAACCUAACCUGAUCCCAAAGCAGUAGGAGGACUACAAGGAGGAGACCAAGCCUGUCCAGGCCUGGGUACAAGGUGCGCCCCCCUCUCCCUGGGGAUGGACUUCGAAAGGGAAGAGAAACCACCUAAAGAUGCUGUUCUGCCACCGCCACAGCCCCAGGGUGCUCCAGGAGAGUCAGGGCACACAGCCACCUCUUGCGUCCCUUGUGCACCCAAGGAGGAAGGGCUUUGGAGAAGUGGAGAGCCAGGCGCACGGCCACUUCAUAAGUCCUCUGCAGAGCCAAGGAGGAGGGGCUUUGGAGAAGUGACAACCUUGAGGAGUUUGCCACCACCCCUGCCCUUGCUCAGGAUUAGCCGUGCCACUUUUGUGAAGUAGCCCCCACUGGAGAACAAGUUUGCUAUGGCGAGUGGAUUCCAGCUCAUCUCCUCUGUCUGCUACUUUGAGUCUGGAAAUGACUGGUGGGUGAGCAAGCACAUUAAGAAGCCGAUUCGCUCCACAGUCUUCAGCUUGGGCUGGCACCUCAACAACAUUUGGCUGGCUGCAGGGUCAUGUGACUUCAAAUGCAGCCAGGUGUCCAUUUACGAGGUGGACCAACAGGACUGUCGCAAAUUCUGUACCACUGGCAUCAACGGGGCCAUGAUGAUCUGGGAUUUCAACGUAUGUCUCUCCAGUGGCAGUUGGCAGCGCUGGUGUGCAGCCCGGGCCAUGCAUGAACUAUCCACUGAGCCGCCCUGCCACAGUGCCUGCUAGAAGAGCUGACCCCAGAGUCCCUAAGACAAGGGGAGCACAGCCACCGGCAGGCAACCUGGAAGCCACCAUGGGUGUUAAUAUCCUGAUAGGAGCCACAGAAGUCUAAAAUCAUUACUAUCACCAAAUACAAUCACCAUACAGACAGGUAAUUCUAAUUUUUAAUGGUUUGUUCAUGGUUGUUAUAUGUCCAAAGUAUACUACAUAUUUUAUUACUAAAUGUACAGAGCAUCUCCCAUGUUUCAGUUACAAUUCUUUGUGUAUCUAGGAUUAAUAUAUAAAAUUUACUGUAUACUAAUAAGCAUGUGUACUCCUCUCCUUCAAGCUUUCUGACUUCUCUGUGCAUGAAGCUUUCUGACCAUAUCUCAAUAAAGCGCAUUCAUCUUUCAAGUAUUCUAUGAUUUUUGCAUGUGUUAGACUCUAAGUUUCAGAGUUUUAAUGAUUUUGCAUGCUGCCUUUUUUUACCUGGGCCUUUAACAGGUAAAAAAAUUAGGAAUUAAUAAUCUUUGGAGAUGAAUAUAAAUUUCCCGAUAUUUUUACAUUACUGUCUUUUAAAUAUUAUUAUUAUUAUUAUUAUUAUUUAUUUCAAGUUAUUCAAAUUAUAUUGUGGCUGUGGCCCUCUCCCUCAUCUCAGAUCCCACCCUCUUUCCCUCUUCUCCCCCUGCACCCCUCCCCUAGUCCACUGUUAGGGAAGGUUGUCCUCCCCUUUUAUUUGACCCUGUACAAGUAUUCCCCCUAUUUGACCCUAUAGAAGUAUUCCUCCUAUUGUUGUGCUGAUAGCAUUAUAGUUAUCUAUCCUUCUAUCUAACAUCUAUCCUUUGUCUAUUGUCUAUAUCAUAUAUCUAUUACACACGCAUACACACACACAGUUUUGAAUAUUUCUUCAAAACACAUGUGGCUCAAUUUUUUUUUAAAUCAAUGUCUUAAAGUCAAAAUUUGAAAUGCAUGCGUCACUUUGUGAGUUAUGGCCUGAGCCUUGGAAUGUUGACAUCACAGUGGUUUCUCCCCCUGACUACUACAGAAUGUUUACACUUCAGGGGUUUGUCUACAAACUGCUGUAGCCAUUUUGGUUAGUGCCAGGUAAGAAAAGGCUAAUUUUUUGCCCAGUGAAAGGUUCUCCAUUCCAGGCUCCGAUGUAAAGGUAUUUUAAAAUGCUCAUUAUGAUUUUCAUGCUAGACUAAUGGUCUCAGGAAGUGUUCUGUCUUGAGUUCUCUAGAACCUGUGACCUAAUUCUUAACAGUUUUUUUUUUUCAUGAAAAGCUACUCCUGUUAGCAAUAAUCUUUACCAUUCCCCCAAAGAAACAAAGUUAUCAUGACAGAGAGUAAUGCUUUGAGAUAUUACAAGGAAUGAUAGUCAUGUACCUUCAAAACUAUAUGCCCAAGAUAUGAGAGAUUAUUUUCUCUUCAUCUAGUUGUAUUACCCAUUGUGCCAACAAAGUUUUGUUGGAAACUGCUCAAAUUUCAGCCCCAAAUUCAACAACCUUCUAGUUUCAAACAUAUAUUUCUCAAUAUGUGAACAUUGAUUCUAGUAGAUAAGAAUGACUUUCCAGACAUACUCAUUUAAUUUCAAUUUUAUAAUGAAAUUGCAUUGGCAAUAUUUUAUAAAAUACCUUUACAUUAUUGCCAGAUGCAUUUGAUGACAACCUUGGCUGAUGUCUCUCUUUGACUGUUCAAUUCACAGGGAUCUUUAAUCCUUCCCAAGUAAAAACUAUGGCUUGUCAGUACAUAUUCCUUGAAUGAAAUGAAAUGACUUAGGCAUAGUAAUAUUCACUUAAUAAAAUAUAUAUGUUAAAUAUUCCAACUGUAUGAGCAGGAACAACAGAGAAACCAUUAAAAUUGUAGCCACUCCAUUAUUACAGGGAAUAAUUUUAUUAUGGGUCAGAGAGGAAAAAUGUUCAGAGGCACCUGGAAGAGUUCAUAGCACAGAGAAAAAGAAGCAGACUUGAUAUGACCAAGACUGUCUAGAAGAGAAUGGAGAAUAUUAGGAGAAAAGUAGAGAUAGCUUAGACAGAGACAAACUAUGCUUCAUAAAUGUACAGGCUGGACUUAGGUCCACCUACACAUAUGUAACAGAUGUGCAUCUUGGUCAGCAUGUGGGACCCCUAACAAUUGAACUGAAGGCUAUCUCUGACUCUGUUGCUUGCCCUUAGUUUCCUUUCCCCUAGCUGGGCUGUCUUGCCUGUCCUUAGUGAGAGAGGAAGUCCUACCUCAUGUUAUGUGUCAGGGUGGGUUGUUACACACAGUGAGCCUCUCUGAAGAGAAAGAGGGAAUGGGGGAGGGAAGAAUGAUGGUGGGACUGUGAAGAGAGAAGGGACGGGGCCUGGGAUGAAGAUAUGAAAUUUAUAAAUAAAUUAAUUUGUGUAAAAAAAAUCAGGGUAUUUCUAGACUAUGCAGAAAAUUAGAAUAGUGCAGAAAGAGAUGAGGCUCUUUGGGAAGGCACAGGAAUCUAGACGUGUGUUUAGAGAUAUAUAACAAGUCCAUUUACUUCCCCUUCAAGGAACCUGGAGGCCACCAUGGGUGUUGAUAUCCUCAUAGGAGCUACAGGUCAAUAGAGAGCGAUUUGUCCCUUUUGUUGGAGCAAGGAAAAUGGCUAUUUUGCUGGACCAGAACUUUUGCACAAAUUCUUGAUGAAUGCUAUUUUUGUUGACCUGGAGGCCAGCAUUGGUGGCUGAUAUCCUGAUAUCACAGGUUGAGACCUGUCCCAGGAGAAUCUAUCUUUACCCACAUGGAAGCCUAUGAGGAGUUCACCAACGAUGGAGUAUACUGGACCUUGCUAUGCCAAGGCUCCAGGAAACUCAGAAGAGACAGAAUAAGGAAAAAAAAAUACAUCUCUCCUUGUUUAAUGAUGUUUUGGUUGUGACUAAUAACCUAUGGGUAUGUCCCUCAUGCCUGCCAUAGUAUUAGAGGCUACACUUUGAUUAGGCUUUACUGUACAAAAAUAAAAUAGUUUUUUGUUCUGUUUUGCUUUAUAAUCACUUCAUUAUUUCCCUAUUUUAUUUCUUAUUACACAUCCUCCCAUGUUUCCUUACUUGGUCUCUUUUAAAAUCAUAGCUUCUUUUUUAAUUAAUAAUUGUUACACAGAUACAUAUGUGUUAAGGUACGUAUAUGUGUGUGGAUAUAUAUAUAUAUAUAUAUAUAUAUAUAUAUAUUCGUAACUACAUAAUCAGCUCAGUCAGUAUAAUAUUAAUUGUAUAUAUAUUUUUCAGGACUGACCAUUUGGUAUUGAUAGCCAAUUAGUCUGCUAUUCCUAUGAGAGGUAUUUCUCUUACUCUCAAAAUUGCACAGCGGCACAGACUUUUUGAAGUAGAGUUGAAGCUUAGUGGACUUUCUUCUGUACACAUUUUCACUUUGUUAUCACAAAUGUUUCAGUCAUAUUUUAAAAAAUGAAUUAUUUAAAGUGUGAUUCUGCUGUUUGAAUUGAGAAAAAAAUAGCAAAAAUCAUGAAAAGGAGAGAGAUAUCAGCAAUUAUAGUUAUUUUGAAGCUGACUUAUGAGUAUUGGAAGUUUGUGGACUACACUAAAAUUUUUCUCAAAAACUGUUUAAAAUAUGAAAGAUAAUAUCACUGGUUAUAUUGGUUGCUCAAAGGGGAUCAUAUAUGUAAGCCUCUGAACUCAUAACUUCCAAAUUAGUGUGAAGAGAUGAGAAGCAGACACUAUCCCUACACUCAUCAGGGGAACUGCUGGUACCAAGUAGGUCCUGCUUGGUGAUCCUGCAGAUGCUAAGGACUGCUGUGAUUGGAGCAUAGAGGUGUUUUUUAGGACCACAUCACAUAUAAUCUCUAGGGGCCAUGAUCAUAGCCUUCAUAUUAUUCUGAGAGAAAUAAAAUUGGUCCUGACCUCCUCAAGUACAUAUUUUAAGGAGUAUUCUUAUAAGUAUGUAAAUAGAUUUUAGGACAGACAUCAAUAAAACAGUCUCAGUUUGGGGCGUAAAUUUUCCAGUUAUUGAGUAAUAUUCCUGAAGAUCCAUUUCAUAAAUUGUGAAAAAAAUGAAAGGAGAGAGUUCUUCUAUACAUUAUAGAGACAACCAAAUGCAUACAUUUUUCUCUCAACCCUGAGAGAAAACUCAACCCUCAACAUUUUUCUCUCACUGUAAGCUCCCACCCUAGAUAAGGGUGACUUAGUGUCUGACCAGUGUAGGCCUAAACUAAGUGAAUGGCCCAGCUGUCUGUCCAUCUUUGUCAUUUCUCCUCAGCUCCAAUUUAGUCCACAAUUGGAAAUCCUAAUUUUAUUUUGAAAGAUAGUAAUCAACUCAUUUAAAAUAAAAAGAAAAUACUGAUCAUUUUCCAUCAGUGUGUUUGUGAAACUGGUGAAUUUCACUUUGACUUUUGAAGAUAAUGGAAACUAAAAAAUGUUUGAUUUUCUUAAAAGAAAAUCUAUUUUGUUCCUCUUUGAAAACUCUUUUGUUCCUCUGUGGUUGAAUUGGAAUAGUAAUUAAAAAUGUUUUGAGAUCAUCAUUUAUAUUAUAAAAAGAGGAUUAUCAAGCUUAUGGGAUGGUUAUCAUUUUUCCAUUUUCAAUGUAGAUUAUUUCUAAUGAGAAAUACUAGAAUUAGAAGUUACAGGUUUCAUGAAGCAUUACUUCCCAAUUUUGGU
Molecule: RNA transcript, 5352 nt
Organism: Meriones unguiculatus (Mongolian gerbil)
Lineage: Eukaryota; Metazoa; Chordata; Mammalia; Rodentia; Muridae
Gene name: actin-related protein 2/3 complex subunit 1A-like
Exons: 7
Source: RefSeq, a predicted model, not a curated record